Molecule: transfer RNA, 75 nt
Filed under: Cordylochernes scorpioides
Lineage: Eukaryota; Metazoa; Arthropoda; Arachnida; Pseudoscorpiones; Chernetidae
Description: tRNA-Ser
Rfam family: tRNA
About the family: Transfer RNA (tRNA) molecules are approximately 80 nucleotides in length. Their secondary structure includes four short double-helical elements and three loops (D, anti-codon, and T loops).
Source: RNAcentral
GUCCAGGGUAGCCUAGUGGUCAUGGCAUCUGCCCAGAAAGCGGAAAGUCGUGGGUUCGAUUCCCAUCCCUUGACA